Molecule: ribosomal RNA, 253 nt
Filed under: uncultured bacterium
Lineage: Bacteria
Description: partial 16S ribosomal RNA
Rfam family: Bacterial small subunit ribosomal RNA
Source: RNAcentral
UACGUAUGGUGCAAGCGUUAUCCGGAUUUACUGGGUGUAAAGGGAGCGCAGGCGGCACGGCAAGCCUGAUGUGAAAGCCCGCGGCCCAACCGCGGGACUGCAUUGGGAACUACCGGGCUGGAGUGCCGGAGAGGUAGGCGGAAUUCCUAGUGUAGCGGUGAAAUGCGUAGAUAUUAGGAGGAACACCAGUGGAGAAGGCGGCCUACUGGACGGUGACUGACGCUGAGGCUCGAAAGCGUGGGGAGCAAACAGG